RNAcentral lists this long non-coding RNA (237 nucleotides) under Lathyrus oleraceus (garden pea). RNAcentral's name for it is "Pisum sativum (pea) long non-coding RNA (PSAT_LNC039258)". Lineage: Eukaryota; Viridiplantae; Streptophyta; Magnoliopsida; Fabales; Fabaceae. The record is from RNAcentral.
UUCUGAAUAUUAAAAUUUGAUAGUAGUGAAUCCACAAGAAACUCAAGCGUUUUUGUGAAAUCCUAUAUGUUUAAUCAUAGCGCCAAAGAUUUAUGCGAUGAAUUGCAAGUUCAGAACAAAAAAAUCAGUUCAAAGAUUUGUGUUCUAACAUAAUCUCUUAAUUGAAUAUUUAUUUUAUUUAUGUAACAUUUUUUUGUUUUAUAUCAAACAUUUGAUCUUCCUCAAGAUCAAUGAAAC